Molecule: ribosomal RNA, 387 nt
Filed under: uncultured bacterium
Lineage: Bacteria
Description: bacterial SSU rRNA
Rfam family: Bacterial small subunit ribosomal RNA
Source: RNAcentral
AGAGUUUGAUCCUGGCUCAGAGCGAACGCUGGCGGCAGGCCUAACACAUGCAAGUCGAGCGCUCCGCAAGGGGAGCGGCAGACGGGAGAGUAACACGUGGGAACGUACCCUUCAGUUCGGAACAACCCAGGGAAACUUGGGCUAAUACCGAAUACGUCCGUAAGGAGAAAGAUUUAUCGCUGAAGGAUCGGCCCGCGUCUGAUUAGCUUGUUGGUGAGGUAACGGCUCACCAAGGCGACGAUCAGUAGCUGGUCUGAGAGGAUGAUCAGCCUCACUGGGACUGAGACACGGCCCAGACUCCUACGGGAGGCAGCAGUGGGGAAUAUUGGACAAUGGGCGCAAGCCUGAUCCAGCCAUGCCGCGUGGGUGAUGAAGGCCCUAGGGUUG